CAUGGGUCGAUACCCUAAUUUCAUCAUCGUCUUCUAUUCUCCGCCGUAUGCUUUUGAUCCAUGGUGAUUUAGGGCUCAACGGUGUUUCAUCUUCCAUAGUCUAUAAUCUCUUAAACCUCAUCUUCCUCUUCGAUCUCAAGUGUUCUUCCUCUUCAAUGGCGACUUUUUCUUCUUCUUCUCACGAAUUUGCCAUGUCUGCAUCUGCUAAAAAAAUUCUGCAGAAGCUCUAGAGCAAUAUCUUAUGCUCGUUAAGGUUUAAGUGUUUAGUGUUUUGGUUCAAGUCUUGGUGAAAACGUUUUCGCGGAAAAUCUCUUCAAGACCAACUCUAUUGACUCAACAGUUCCAGAAGUCAUGUUUCAGAGUGCGGUGAAGAAGUUACAACAGGAGUAGUUCAGACCAGCAGAGCACGUUUCACUUUAAUCAAAAAAGAUGCUGCAGUACAUCUUCUUGGAGUGAAACAGCUUUGCCUUCUAUUUGCACAUUUCUUCACUCUUUUUUUCUGUCCUGAUCCUAAUUAUCAUCAUUACUUGCCAAACAAAAUGUUACUAUUCUAUAAGUAAAUAAUUAGCUGCAUCUUGCAAGCUUUUGUUUCCUUGUUCAUCCAACUUUUGUAAUCGUCACAAAAUGAGCGAGUAAUUCUCAAA
Raphanus sativus (radish) is the source of this 644-nucleotide long non-coding RNA. RefSeq lists it as uncharacterized. The transcript is spliced from 4 exons. NCBI's taxonomy places the organism in Eukaryota, Viridiplantae, Streptophyta, Magnoliopsida, Brassicales, Brassicaceae. The record is from RefSeq and is a predicted model, not a curated record.